GAUGAACGCUGGCGGCGUGCCUAAUACAUGCAAGUCGAGCGAACGGACGAGAGGCUUGCUUUUCUGAUGUUAGCGGCGGACGGGUGAGUAACACGUGGAUAACCUACCUAUAAGACUGGGAUAACUUCGGGAAACCGGAGCUAAUACCGGAUAAUAUUUUGAACCGCAUGGUUCAAAAGUGAAAGACGGUCUUGCUGUCACUUAUAGAUGGAUCCGCGCUGCAUUAGCUAGUUGGUAAGGUAACGGCUUACUAAGGCAACGAUGCAUAGCCGACCUGAGAGGGUGAUCGGCCACACUGGAACUGAGACACGGUCCAGACUCCUACGGGAGGCAGCAGUAGGGAAUCUUCCGCAAUGGGCGAAAGCCUGACGGAGCAACGCCGCGUGAGUGAUGAAGGUCUUCGGAUCGUAAAACUCUGUUAUUAGGGAAGAACAUAUGUGUAAGUAACUGUGCACAUCUUGACGGUACCUAAUCAGAAAGCCACGGCUAACUACGUG
Molecule: ribosomal RNA, 497 nt
Filed under: uncultured bacterium
Lineage: Bacteria
Description: partial 16S ribosomal RNA
Rfam family: Bacterial small subunit ribosomal RNA
Source: RNAcentral